This 253-nucleotide ribosomal RNA is filed under the name uncultured bacterium. RNAcentral describes it as "partial 16S ribosomal RNA". It matches the Rfam family "Bacterial small subunit ribosomal RNA", at positions 524 to 776 of the family's 1533-position model. The record is from RNAcentral.
UACGGAGGGUGCAAGCGUUAUCCGGAUUCACUGGGUUUAAAGGGUGCGUAGGUGGGCAGGUAAGUCAGUGGUGAAAUCUCUGGGCUUAACCCGGAAACUGCCGUUGAUACUAUCUGUCUUGAAUGUAGUGGAGGUGAGCGGAAUAUGUCAUGUAGCGGUGAAAUGCUUAGAUAUGACAUAGAACACCCAUUGCGAAGGCAGCUCGCUACACUAUUACUGACACUGAGGCACGAAAGCGUGGGGAUCAAACAGG